Molecule: ribosomal RNA, 254 nt
Filed under: uncultured bacterium
Lineage: Bacteria
Description: partial 16S ribosomal RNA
Rfam family: Bacterial small subunit ribosomal RNA
Source: RNAcentral
UACAGAGGGUGCAAGCGUUAAUCGGAAUUACUGGGCGUAAAGCGCGCGUAGGUGGUUUGUUAAGUUGAAUGUGAAAUCCCCGGGCUCAACCUGGGAACUGCAUGCAAAACUGGCAAGCUAGAGUAUGGUAGAGGGUGGUGGAAUUUCCUGUGUAGCGGUGAAAUGCGUAGAUAUAGGAAGGAACACCAGUGGCGAAGGCGACCACCUGGACUGAUACUGACACUGAGGUGCGAAAGCGUGGGGGAGCAAACAGG